GGUGAGCGAAUCCCAAAAUAACGUCCCAGUUCGGAUUGUAGUCUGCAACCCGACUACAUGAAGCUGGAAUCGCUAGUAAUCGCGAAUCAGAAUGUCGCGGUGAAUAUGUUCCCGGGUCUUGUACACACCGCCCGUCAAGCCAUGGGAGCCGGGGGCGCCUGAAGUCCGGGACCGCGAGGACCGGCCUAGGGCGAAACUGGUAACUGGGGCUAAGUCGUAACAAGGUAGC
This 229-nucleotide ribosomal RNA is filed under the name uncultured bacterium. RNAcentral's name for it is "partial 16S ribosomal RNA". It matches the Rfam family "Bacterial small subunit ribosomal RNA", at positions 1262 to 1500 of the family's 1533-position model. The record is from RNAcentral.